AACAUUGUAUUUUACAUCAGAAAGAUUUUAUUCUCAUAAUCAUUUUCUUCAAUUAAAUCCAGAUUACUGUAGAUGCUGUUGUUGGUUUAAAAAGGCUCUUGCCGUAAACUUCUCUGACAUUUUCCCCCCAAUGUGUCAAUUUAACAUAUUCAGCCUGAUCACCUGUUUGCUGUGAAAUCUUGCAAUAAUGACAAUACAUAAAUAAUUCAGACAAAUUCAGUCACAUCCAUGUGCCCCUUCCUUUCGUAAUUAGUUUGUACUUUAAAAAUCUUGCAUGCAUACAGAUUUUCUCUGGAAUAAUUGCAGUCCAAAAGAAAGACAAGCAACCAAAACUGUCGUUAUGUGCGUCGAAGCAAGCACCAUACGUUCAGAGGACAGCAGUUUAAUAAACUCACACGAGGAUCCAGAGAGCAAACACUACCACUUAGUUGCGUUACAUCCGGGGAGAGAGGAGGAGCUUGCAGUCUAAGCUACAGUAGCCGUGCGGGACAUUUCUUUAGCACAAUACACAAUCAUGCAAUUAUCUACAUCCUCUCCUUUUAGAACAUUGCCUCUAUAAAAAAUAUUGUUAACUAAAAAACUGUAAUAUACAAAUGUGACAUGACAGUCUAACAAUAAACAAUUCUGCGUAAAACUGGCAGCAUAAAAUUUACUGAAUUAACAAAUUAUUCCUCUUGGAAAUGCACGAAGGUACACUUGGUAAUAAUGGCAAGUAUGUAAACAACCUUAGAACUUAACUUUUUUUUUUUCAAAAUGCAACUAACAAACAUGCAGUUCAAUCCUUAUACUUCGGAUUCGGCUUAGAAAUCCGACCUGAGCGAGUCACAUAAGCAGAACAAUUGUGUGAUACUCGGGUGGGCAAGUCAGCUGGAGAUGUUGUUGAUUGCUCAUUGGUGGAGUAGUGAGCAGAUGGCUGAGAGAAGUGAGACGGUCGGGCAUGUGGACUGGAUAGAAGAGGGUCUGGUGUACUCGGAACUGGUGGUUGAGAGUGAUGGUCAGAGUCGGCGUGCAAAGGUGGGGUUGGUUCAGCAACAGGAAGGAUGUGACGGCGAUUCCUCCUGUAGAUACCUCCGUUGGAUUCAACGAUGUAGGAGCGCGGCUCUUUGCAAGCCUGAACCACUUUCCCGAGGCGCUGUUUGGCACUGCGGACGGCACGCUCGGCUAAUCCAUUUGACUGCGGGUAUUCGGGACUGCUGGUAACGUGAGUAAUAUCCCACUGUUUGGAAAAGUCGCGGAAUCGUUGGCUUGUGUACUGUUUGCCAUUAUCAGAAAUCAGUGUAUGGGGUGCUCCAUGAACAGAAAAACGUCUCUUUAGCUUUUUUAUCACUGUAGCUGAAGACAAAUCACGAAGCAGAUCAAUUUCGAACCAUCCCGAGUAAGAGUCUACAAGGACUGAAUACUGUUGACCAUGCCAUUCAAAAAUGUCUGUUGCGACCGUAGACCAUGGCAGGGUAGGGACAGGAUGAGCUUUUAGCGGUUCCUUUUGCUGGUGUGGUCGUGUGCUAUUGCAUACAGCACAAGACAG
This is a long non-coding RNA of Syngnathus acus (greater pipefish), 1525 nucleotides long. RefSeq lists it as uncharacterized. The record is from RefSeq and is a predicted model, not a curated record. Lineage: Eukaryota; Metazoa; Chordata; Actinopteri; Syngnathiformes; Syngnathidae. The transcript has 2 exons.